AGAGUUUGAUCCUGGCUCAGGAUGAACGCUGGCGGUAUGCCUAACACAUGCAAGUCGAACGGUUCGCAAGAACAGUGGCGGACGGGUGAGUAACGCGUGAGAAUCUGCCUUCAGGAUGGGGACAACAGCGGGAAACUGCUGCUAAUACCCGAUGUGCCGAGAGGUGAAAGUUAUUUCGCCUGAAGAGGAGCUCGCGUCUGAUUAGCUAGUUGGAGUGGUAAGAGCACACCAAGGCGACGAUCAGUAGCUGGUCUGAGAGGAUGAGCAGCCACACUGGGACUGAGACACGGCCCAGACUCCUACGGGAGGCAGCAGUGGGGAAUUUUCCGCAAUGGGCGAAAGCCUGACGGAGCAAUACCGCGUGAGGGAGGAAGGUUCAAGUAAUUGUAAACCUCUUUUAUCAGGGAAGAAAAAAAUGACGUACCUGAAGAA
Molecule: ribosomal RNA, 432 nt
Filed under: uncultured bacterium
Lineage: Bacteria
Description: bacterial SSU rRNA
Rfam family: Bacterial small subunit ribosomal RNA
Source: RNAcentral